RNAcentral lists this ribosomal RNA (428 nucleotides) under uncultured Geobacter sp. Its description in RNAcentral is "bacterial SSU rRNA". It matches the Rfam family "Bacterial small subunit ribosomal RNA", at positions 355 to 774 of the family's 1533-position model. Lineage: Bacteria; Pseudomonadati; Thermodesulfobacteriota; Desulfuromonadia; Geobacterales; Geobacteraceae. The record is from RNAcentral.
UGGGGAAUUUUGCGCAAUGGGCGAAAGCCUGACGCAGCAACGCCGCGUGAGUGAUGAAGGCUUUCGGGUCGUAAAGCUCUGUCAAGGGGAAAGAAAUGUAUUGUGGCUAAUAUCCGCGAUACUUGACGGUACCCCUAAAGGAAGCACCGGCUAACUCCGUGCCAGCAGCCGCGGUAAUACGGGGGGUGCAAGCGUUGUUCGGAAUUAUUGGGCGUAAAGCGCGUGUAGGCGGUUUGUUAAGUCUGAUGUGAAAGCCCUGGGCUCAACCCAGGAAGUGCAUUGGAAACUGGCAGACUUGAAUACGGGAGAGGGUAGUGGAAUUCCUGGUGUAGGAGUGAAAUCCGUAGAUAUCAGGAGGAACACCGGUGGCGAAGGCGGCUACCUGGACCGAUAUUGACGCUGAGACGCGAAAGCGUGGGUAGCAAACA